Molecule: RNA transcript, 2530 nt
Organism: Oncorhynchus kisutch (coho salmon)
Lineage: Eukaryota; Metazoa; Chordata; Actinopteri; Salmoniformes; Salmonidae
Gene name: LIM and senescent cell antigen-like-containing domain protein 1
Exons: 11
Source: RefSeq, a predicted model, not a curated record
GAAAACGCCAGCUACCAAGGAAAGGGUGGCUCCACCAAGAUACUGGAGGAGAAAAAAAAAUGCUAGUUGGUUAGGUAGGAGUCGUCUCUCGGAUCAAUCCAUUACUCGUCCUAUUUGAAGACCCCGGGGAAAAGUCGAUACGUUUCUGAAACGGUGGUGUUGAUAGGUGAUGCUGGGAGUAGUAGAAAUGACGGGCAGCAACAUGGCGAACGCCCUGGCGAACGCGUCGUGCGAGCGCUGUAAGAGCGGCUUCGCCCCGGCAGAGAAGAUCGUCAACAGCAACGGGGAGCUGUACCACGAGGGCUGCUUCGUCUGCGCACAGUGCUUCCAGCAGUUCCCAGAGGGGCUCUUCUAUGAGUUUGAAGGCAGGAAAUACUGUGAACAUGACUUUCAGAUGCUCUUCGCUCCCUGCUGCCACCAGUGUGGGGAGUUCAUCAUUGGCCGUGUGAUCAAGGCCAUGAACAACAGCUGGCAUCCUGAUUGUUUCUGCUGUGACAUCUGCCAGGCUGUGCUCGCUGACGUCGGCUUCGUCAAGAACGCUGGCAGGCACCUGUGUCGACCCUGUCAUAACCGUGAGAAGGCUAGAGGUCUGGGGAAGUACAUCUGUCAGAAAUGCCAUGCCAUCAUCGAGGACAGCCCCCUCAUCUUUAAGAACGACCCCUAUCAUCCCGACCACUUCAACUGCAACAACUGUGGUAAGGAGCUGACAGCAGAUGCCAGGGAGCUGAAGGGAGAGCUGUACUGUCUGCCCUGCCAUGAUAAGAUGGGGGUGCCGAUCUGUGGCGCCUGCAGGAGGCCCAUCGAGGGACGCGUGGUCAACGCCAUGGGCAAGCAGUGGCACGUCGAGCACUUUGGGUGUAGUGUAUGUGAGCGAUCGUUCCAGGGCCAUCCCUACUAUGAAUGUAAGGGCUAUGCCUACUGCGAGUGGCACUUUAACAUGCUCUUUGGUGAUGUGUGCUACCACUGCAACAGAGUGAUUGAAGGAGACGUGGUGUCAGCCCUGAACAAAGCAUGGUGUGUGAACUGUUUCUCCUGCGCCACCUGCAACACCAAGCUCACCCUCAAAGACAAGUUUGUAGAGGUAGAUCUGAAGCCUGUAUGUAAGCACUGUUACGAGCGGAUGCCUGAGGAGCUGAAACGCAGACUGGCCCGACGCGAGAGGGACGCCUCAAAAGACCGCAAAAAGAAACCUGUUAUCUGUCUGUAGACUUUUCCAGUCCUCUUCCUUUCAUCUUCACUAUCCUCCUCUCGCUCAUUUCCAUCCAUGGGAACAAGUUUGUGGAGUUUGACAUGAAGCCUGUGUGUAAGAAAUGUUAUGAGAAAUUUCCUCUGGAACUGAAGAAGAGACUGAAGAAACUGGCUGAGACUGUCGGACGCAAGUAGACCUCCGAUUCCCAAGGGGGCGACACUCAACAACAUGUCCAGUAGCUUUCCCAAAGCCCCAGAAACUCUGGAAAAUUCCCUUUCCCGGAUGUCCUGAUUAUUCCCUACUGGGGAUCUUCCAUUUCGGGGGUUUCUAGAAACCUGGGAUUGUAAGAAAGUUACUGGAGGUUCGCAGGUUAGCAACGCUGAACCCUGUAUUAACCUUAACAAGUGCCCAAAUUAGUCAAAGGAAUUGUAUGAACGUGUCAGAUUUAGACUCAAAAUCCCGUCUGUUCCAGUAUUUUAGUAUUUGACGUCUUCAGGUACUCAGUAUAACGUGUUUAAUCUUUUCUCACUUUUUAAUUGAUUAUUUUUUGUGCACGUGGCUUUUGCAUGUGGAGCUGUUUUUCAGAUGUCCAGAGUCUUAAUCAAACAAUAUAGAACCUCAUUCUGCCUGACAAUGACCUAUGAAAGCAUGGAGGGGAAAAAACGAUGGGUGAAAUGCAUUUAGACAUUGUUAAGAAAUAAUACAUAUAACUGAUGUAGUUUGGCCACGAGCGGACCAAAUGAACAGCAGUAUAAAGGGUUAAUGACGUCUAACGAAAUACUUGCACGCUGUCUUAAAGAGAUGAAGGUGCUUGUAGUACUCUUAAAAUAGCUUUUGUCUUGUGCCUUGGGUAUGAAUAUACACUGAGUAUACAACAUAUUUCCAUGGCAUUGACUGAUCAGGUGAAAGCUAUGAUCCCUUAUUGAUGUCUCUUCAAUCAGUAGAUGACAGAUUUAAAGAAGGAUUUUUUUUUUAGCUCGGUACUAGUACUAAUGUUUGGUAAGCUCAGUGUAUAUUUUAUACUGCAUUAUAUACUGUAAGGGUGUCCGAUAAUAUGCAUGUGGUUGUCCGAUAUACUGGCAUGUGAUCCAGACUUACUACAACUGCCUUAAUCAGAGAAUAUUCCUCACUUCUGUGUAAGAAUGAGAAUUCUAGCUGUGUAUCAGAACGUGGAGCCCAUGACUCUGGUAUGUCAUCUAGGACUCUGGUAUGUCAUCUAGGACUCUGGUAUGUCAUCUAGGACUCUGGUAUGUCAUCUAGGACUCUGGUAUGUCAUGUGUGAGUCUGGUAUAUCGUGUAUCCUAACAUUUGCUUGUAAUAAAAUAAAAUGUCAUGGGUUUG